CUUUACAGGGUAAGAAGACUCCGGUAGAAGGGGCAACCACUCUCUUACAACCUGCGCACUACGUAAUGCGCAGUUUGUUAUCCCUUCACACCUCAGCUUGCUGCAUCGCUAAUUCACCAACAAUAAAAACAUAAGUCAUAACCAAACAUUAACAAAUACAAUUGACGUUUUACGAGAUUGUUGACAUUAAAAUAAAAAAAAAAAAAAAACAAAUAUUUUAAGCUGCCCAAAAGUGAAUAAAUUAUUAAUAUUAUUUCGACUUUUAUUAUUAACUUAUCGAACUGCCAAUUAAAAAGAAGUAAUUUCAUAAUUAUGAAUAAAAUAAAGAAAAAAAUGGGUCAUAGCAAGUUAUUUCAAGAGCUUUGUAAUGACAGAGAUGCUGUUCCAUUACCCAAUGCAACGUGGGCCAGGAUUGUAACAAGUGGCAAUACUUUGGUAUUUUCUAAGGGUUUGGAUGGCAUCAAAUGUUUUAGUGUUGCUAUUUUACCUAACAUGGAAGUCAUAAUAUCACAUGGUCAAGAAGAGUUAGAUUGGCUGCAUUGUCAACCUCCAAAAUCAGCAAAUGAUAUUUUACGAAUUAUCAAAACGUUUGAUAAUAUAUUAAAAUGACAUUCACCAUUAUAAUAUUAAACCCAUCAUUAAUGCUUUCGUCGUGUCUCGAGUUUUCUUGAGGCAAUUGGAAGUAGAAAUUCAUCAACUCAAAAAGUUAAAAUGAAUUCAAUACCAAAAGAUAUUCAUAGAAGACAAAAUUUGUUUUAAUAUAUGAGUAAAAAAUGCUGGUUUAGAUGAUAAUAAAACAAAUAAAUAUUCAUAUAGUGAGUAUCGUUGUUCUGCUUAAAUGUGGGAAAAACCAAGAGUUGAUGGAAAAAAAAAGUAUAAUUUUCACCAGCUCCAAUGAUAUUUGUUGAUCUUGUAACACAAAUUAAAUAUGGAGCAGUUCAUGAAGAUCGUUGUGAGAUACCAACAGCACCUAUCGAUGCAAAUAAAAAUAAUUAGUAUAGAUCCAACAAAAAAACAAAUUGCAAUAAUGAAAAUUGAUAAUAAUAAAUUACUCAAUGAUUCAAAACAAAAUGUCAAAUUUCAUAAAAUUAGUCAAUUAUCAAUGAAUUAUGAAAAACAAUUAAAAUAUGUUAAAAGUUUAGAAAAAAAAUUGGAUAAAUCAGAAAGAUCAAGAAUUGCUAUGGAAAAAAAUCACGUACGUUUACAAAGGCAAUAUUGUUAUCAAAUAAAACAGCUAAAAGAUAAAUUAAAUAAUUAUAAAAAUAUUAAUUUACAAGAUGAUCAAGGUAAAUUAUUAAAUUGACAUGAAAAAUUUGUGGUUUAUCAGGUUAUUGUGAACUUCUUGAACAGUAUUAUCUAUUACCAGCAUUGAGAACAUCUUGAAUUUAACAAUCUUGAAUUUAAAAAUGUUAGUUCAGUACUAGAAAAAACAUAAGUAUAUAUUUUUUAAAAUUACAUAAACAAAUUAAAUUCCUGGUGAAUUAUAAUCAAUUUUAUUUUUUUAAAACAAAUUACUAAUUUUUUCACAGUGACCUGUUAUGAUUAUCAUAAAAAAAAAUAUAUAAUUUUUAUUUUAAUGAUCAAGUUAAAUAUUUUAAAUGAUAAUAAAUAAAUGUUAAUGAUUAUUAAGUUAUUUUUA
Aphidius gifuensis is the source of this 1639-nucleotide long non-coding RNA. RefSeq lists it as uncharacterized. NCBI's taxonomy places the organism in Eukaryota, Metazoa, Arthropoda, Insecta, Hymenoptera, Braconidae. The record is from RefSeq and is a predicted model, not a curated record. The transcript is spliced from 5 exons.